RNAcentral lists this ribosomal RNA (253 nucleotides) under uncultured bacterium. RNAcentral's name for it is "partial 16S ribosomal RNA". It matches the Rfam family "Bacterial small subunit ribosomal RNA", at positions 524 to 776 of the family's 1533-position model. The record is from RNAcentral.
UACGGGGGGGGCAAGCGUUGUUCGGAAUUACUGGGCGUAAAGGGCUCGUAGGCGGCCAACUAAGUCAGACGUGAAAUCCCUCGGCUUAACCGGGGAACUGCGUCUGAUACUGGAUGGCUUGAGAUUGGGAGAGGGACGCGGAAUUCCAGGUGUAGCGGUGAAAUGCGUAGAUAUCUGGAGGAACACCGGUGGCGAAGGCGGCGUCCUGGACCAACACUGACACUGAAAAGCGAAAGCCAGGGGAGCAAACGGG